ACGCUGGUAGCUCAAUUGGCAGAGCAGCGGUCUCCAAAACCGCAGGUUGGGGGUUCGACUCCCUCCCAGCGUGC
Molecule: transfer RNA, 74 nt
Filed under: Ignavibacteriaceae bacterium
Lineage: Bacteria; Pseudomonadati; Ignavibacteriota; Ignavibacteria; Ignavibacteriales; Ignavibacteriaceae
Description: tRNA-Trp
Rfam family: tRNA
About the family: Transfer RNA (tRNA) molecules are approximately 80 nucleotides in length.
Source: RNAcentral